Molecule: RNase P RNA, 368 nt
Filed under: Reticulomyxa filosa
Lineage: Eukaryota; Foraminifera; Reticulomyxidae
Description: Bacterial RNase P class A
Rfam family: Bacterial RNase P class A
About the family: Ribonuclease P (RNase P) is a ubiquitous endoribonuclease, found in archaea, bacteria and eukarya as well as chloroplasts and mitochondria. Its best characterised activity is the generation of mature 5'-ends of tRNAs by cleaving the 5'-leader elements of precursor-tRNAs. Cellular RNase Ps are ribonucleoproteins.
Source: Rfam by way of RNAcentral
UGAGAUAGCUGGAUGGUUGCUGUGUGUAAAAACAUAGAGGAAAGUCCGGGCUUUAUGGAACAAUGAUGCUGGCUAACCGCCAGAGAGGAUAAAACCUUAUGGAAAGUGCCACAGAAAACAAACCGCCUGUUAAAGGGUAAAGGUGAAAAGGUAAGGUAAGAGCUUACCGGGUAAGCAGCAAUGGUUACCGCAUGGCAAACCCCAUCAAAAGCAAGACCAUAUAGGUGCACAAAAGCUUUUAGCUUAAGCAAGUUCCGCGCUAGUGUACGGGUAGGUCGCAAGAGCUAAAUGGUAACAUUUAGCCAAGAUGAAUAACCAUCAGAGAGCGUAAGCUUUCACAGAACCCGGCUUAUAGGCUAUCUCAUUAA